GACAGAGGGUGCAAACGUUGUUCGGAAUUACUGGGCGUAAAGCGCGUGUAGGCGGCCUUGUAAGUCGGAUGUGAAAGCCCUGGGCUCAACCCAGGAAGUGCACUCGAAACUACAAGGCUUGAGUCCCGGAGAGGAAAGCGGAAUUCUCGGUGUAGAGGUGAAAUUCGUAGAUAUCGAGAGGAACACCGGUGGCGAGGGCGGCUUUCUGGACGGCGACUGACGCUGGGACGCGAAAGCGUGGGGAGCAAACAGG
RNAcentral lists this ribosomal RNA (253 nucleotides) under uncultured bacterium. Its description in RNAcentral is "partial 16S ribosomal RNA". It matches the Rfam family "Bacterial small subunit ribosomal RNA", at positions 524 to 776 of the family's 1533-position model. The record is from RNAcentral.